This 551-nucleotide ribosomal RNA is filed under the name Alternaria sp. G16B. RNAcentral's name for it is "eukaryotic LSU rRNA". The stretch from base 213 to 366 matches the Rfam family "5.8S ribosomal RNA". The record is from RNAcentral. Lineage: Eukaryota; Fungi; Ascomycota; Dothideomycetes; Pleosporales; Pleosporaceae.
AAAAGCGUAACAAGGUCUCCGUAGGUGAACCUGCGGAGGGAUCAUUACACAAAUAUGAAGGCGGGCUGGAACCUCUCGGGGUUACAGCCUUGCUGAAUUAUUCACCCUUGUCUUUUGCGUACUUCUUGUUUCCUUGGUGGGUUCGCCCACCACUAGGACAAACAUAAACCUUUUGUAAUUGCAAUCAGCGUCAGUAACAAAUUAAUAAUUACAACUUUCAACAACGGAUCUCUUGGUUCUGGCAUCGAUGAAGAACGCAGCGAAAUGCGAUAAGUAGUGUGAAUUGCAGAAUUCAGUGAAUCAUCGAAUCUUUGAACGCACAUUGCGCCCUUUGGUAUUCCAAAGGGCAUGCCUGUUCGAGCGUCAUUUGUACCCUCAAGCUUUGCUUGGUGUUGGGCGUCUUGUCUCUAGCUUUGCUGGAGACUCGCCUUAAAGUAAUUGGCAGCCGGCCUACUGGUUUCGGAGCGCAGCACAAGUCGCACUCUCUAUCAGCAAAGGUCUAGCAUCCAUUAAGCCUUUUUUUCAACUUUGACCUCGGAUCAGGACGAUGC